This 1216-nucleotide long non-coding RNA is filed under the name Physcomitrium patens. Its description in RNAcentral is "long non-coding RNA (PPAT_LNC005922)". The record is from RNAcentral. Lineage: Eukaryota; Viridiplantae; Streptophyta; Bryopsida; Funariales; Funariaceae.
GUUCUGAUUGUCGUUUUACUUAUUCUAUAAUUCUUUUUAGAAUAAACCUAUAUAGGAGAAUUCGAACACACGAAAAGACUAAGUGCAUGAGUUUUACUUAUUAGGAUCAUACAAUUAAUUAUAUUCCAAACCACUAAAAUACUAAGAAAUAUUACGAUGAUUUCUCCCAAUAACAAUACUCCUUCAUCAAUUGAUAACAAUAGGGUGCAACUCUGUACUCUGAAAAUACUGCUCAAAAUACAAUAAUUUCCAUCCAACAUCAAGAAUAACAGAUUUCACUCCAACCAAACUAAAUUCACAUAAUUUCUGUAAUUACAGACUUCCUCUGUCGAAACACACACAGCUUUCAAUAAACAACAGUCAUAAUCUUCUGAUAACUCCUCAUAUAAUUCAAUCACUCAGUGCUCCAAUUACAUAAUCAAUAACUCAUAAAUCAAUCUCUGAUUUAUUCCACAGACUCACUUCUCAGUAUUCAGAAACUAUCCAUUACUCUUUAAUAACAAAGAAACAAAGAAACAAAAAGGUAGCACCAAGCUUACCCCACCUCAUAACUAUCAUAGUCUGGCACUUCAACAAACUUCUACAACUCCUAUAUAAUUGCUCUUGAUUUCUAGAUUCUAACCGUAAUUCCUUAAUUAAUUACUUUUAAUAACUAAAUCAAUCAUCUGUCCUCUGGAAUGACUAUUCUAUGGACUAUUAGUCUAUUUUAUUAAUAUUUUAUAAAAAUGAAUUAAUAUCUAUUCUACAUAAUCCCACUCCUAACUGUACAGCAUCCUCACAAACACAUAAUUGAUUCCUAUCUAAAAACUACUUAAUAAAAUUCUACAAAGUUACUAUCCUCUUUGGUCCAUCCAAUUAAUUAUUUGCUAUAUUAUCGAAUGUAAGUUCCAUCGAUUCUGGUUCCAGUUACAAAUCUUCUUCCUCCUCCACUCCUUCCAUCAACUCUUUUUUCAACUAGUUUGAUAGAUCUUCAUUAUACUCUUUCAAUUCACUGACCUAAGCUUUCAGCUUCAAGAUCUCGGCAUCUCGAAGUUCCAAUUGAUGCUAUUGCUGACUCAUCUAUUCUAGAACAUCUUCAAUCAACACUUGUGACCGGCUCCUCAUUGUUAACUCUUAAUUAGAACUACUACUCUAGAAUACACAAGAAACACAAGAAAUAGCAAUCUCAGAAAAACAACCCAAAAUAAUACCACAAAAUGACUUUAACUCGUGCCCC